UGGGGAAUUUUGGACAAUGGGGGAAACCCUGAUCCAGCCAUCCCGCGUGUGCGAUGAAGGCCUUCGGGUUGUAAAGCACUUUUGGCAGGAAAGAAACGUCGCGGGUUAAUACCCCGCGAAACUGACGGUACCUGCAGAAUAAGCACCGGCUAACUACGUGCCAGCAGCCGCGGUAAUACGUAGGGUGCAAGCGUUAAUCGGAAUUACUGGGCGUAAAGCGUGCGCAGGCGGUUCGGAAAGAAAGAUGUGAAAUCCCAGAGCUUAACUUUGGAACUGCAUUUUUAACUACCGGGCUAGAGUGUGUCAGAGGGAGGUGGAAUUUCGCGUGUAGCAGUGAAAUGCGUAGAUAUGCGGAGGAACACCGAUGGCGAAGGCAGCCUCCUGGGAUAACACUGACGCUCAUGCACGAAAGCGUGGGGAGCAAACAGGAUUAGAUACCCUGGUAGUCCACGCCCUAAACGAUGUCAACUAGCUGUUGGGGCCUUCGGGCCUUGGUAGCGCAGCUAACGCGUGAAGUUGACCGCCUGGGGAGUACGGUCGCAAGAUUAAAACUCAAAUGAAUUGAC
Molecule: ribosomal RNA, 566 nt
Filed under: uncultured bacterium
Lineage: Bacteria
Description: partial 16S ribosomal RNA
Rfam family: Bacterial small subunit ribosomal RNA
Source: RNAcentral